RNAcentral lists this transfer RNA (77 nucleotides) under Bradyrhizobium diazoefficiens. RNAcentral's name for it is "tRNA-OTHER". Lineage: Bacteria; Pseudomonadati; Pseudomonadota; Alphaproteobacteria; Hyphomicrobiales; Nitrobacteraceae. RNAcentral also lists the same sequence under 2 other names. The record is from RNAcentral.
AUGGUUACUAUUCCGGCCUAAACAACUCCCCCUUGGUAAUGGAGAGGUCGACAGUUCAAUCCUGUCUGGCAGCACCA